CUACUCAUCCAGGAAGUCACAAAAGAGUCAAGGACAACAUCAAAGGAACUACAGGCCUCUCUUGCAUCAAUAAAUGUCACUGUUCAUGACUCCACUAUCAGAAAGACACUGGGCAAAAAUGGCAUCCAUGGAACAGUGGAAAAAAAACUGCUAACCCAGAAGAACAUUAAGGCUUGUCUGAAUUUUGCCAAAACACACCUUGAUGAUCCUCAAACCUUUUGGGAGAACGUUCUGUUCACUGAUGAGUCGAAAGUGGAAUUGUUUGGAAGACCGAUUCUGUUACAUCUGGCAUAAACCAAACCCAGAAUUCCACAAAAAAGAACAUCAUACCUAUGGUCAAGCAUGGUAGUAGCAGUAUGAUUGCGUGGGCAUGCUUUGCUGCUUCAGGGCUUGGACAACUUGCAAUAAUUGAGGGAAACAUGAAUUCUGUUCUCAACCAGAAAAUCCUGAAGGAGAAUGCCGGGUCUUCAGUCCGUAAAUUGAAACUCAAGUGCAACUGGAUUAUGCAGUAAGACAAUGAUCCAAAGCAUAGGUGUAAGUCCUUGUCCUAGAAGUUUGACUUGUUGAAGCACACCAGGUUAAAUUGGAGGUCAGAUGGACUCAACUCGCUCACUUAUGAGAUCCUUUCCAAAGAGUUAGAGCCGCUGUACACCAACCUGAGUGUCAACAUUGGGGAAGAACCUCACCCCCCUCCCAAAAAGUCUGCACUCCCUAAAAAUGCUUCUUAUCCAGCAGCAAGACCCAAAGGCAGAGACAAAGACAAAGGAACAGUAGGAUGGCAGUCCACUCAAGUUACCAAAUUAGACGAGGGUCACUUAAAAGUAACCAGUACGAGUUCAGAUGUUGGUCAGAAAGAUGUCGUGAAACUGUUAUCACUGUGUACUAUUUUUGGUCUUGCUAUGGAAAUGUGCAGCUCAUCAUGUUUGCACAGGUUUGUGGUUUUUAUUUUAGAAAUGGCUAAUCUAAAAGUACUUUAUAAGAAAAGUACAAUAGGGAAUAUCCAUUAAUUCCAGAUGGCUCUUUUGGUUAGACAAUCAUAAGCUAAAUAGCUGACAAAUCAAUCAGUUAACAAAUUUCUGUCUUUAAAAGUUCUUUUUUUAAAUUUUUUUUUAUUUUUUUUAAAUAAUCAUUAUAACACAUAAUAGUGGUUUGGAUUUAUUUUAUAGUAAGAUAUUUUAUAGUAGAUUUGUUAAAGUUUGGUGAAUUAUUUUAUUGCAGGUCUCAUAGAAAGUGUUGCUGCAUAUAAUUGAUAUAAUUAUUGCUAUAAUCUUUGUACAUAAGCUAUAUUUAUUCUAUAAAAAUGCCCAAGCAGAAAUUUGCCAUAUGCAAAAAUAUGACACACUUCUAAUUUUUUAAAAAUCAACCAAGUAUCUGUACACACUGAUGAGGACUGAUUUUCAAAUAUUAGUCUAUCUAAUCUAUUUCUGAACCCUAACACUGCUGUAAAAUGGUUGGUGUUUUAAAUGUGUAAUCUCCGCACAGAGGGUAUACAGCAUUUUUCCCCCCCUAUUUUUUCUUGUAUCUGGCAAUAUCAGAAAGUGAUCAUUUGAAUGUACUUCUGUUUCUCUCUCUCUCUCCCAUUUGAAGCAGCCAGUUGUUAUUUUAUUUUUAUUUUUUUGGCAGGACUUGGGUAUAAAGUAAUGUAACAAGACCUACAUGUAGACCUUAAACUAUGAGUUAAUAAACCUCUUUUUUAUUAUGCCUUUAUUAGAGUACAGGUAAUUAGGAACUUUAUAGUAUAGGUAAUUAGAUAUACGUGUGAUAAACCUAAAAUUUAUUUAUUCAUUACCACAAAUGAUUUAAUUAGAGCUUAAACAGAAUUACCUAUAUUAUCUUUAUCUGUGUGUAUAAAUAGGUACACAUAUCUUGGCUUAUUAGCAUGUGUCCCAAAAACCUAUUUCUUUAUACUAUGUGUGCAAGACACUAAUAUAUUUAUUUAAUACACUAGUUUGUAUGAGAUGUUUAGCAAUGGUUAUAAUACACUGUAAUAUAUGAGUAUCAUAGUCUGACAACUAAUUUCCCAGUUGCUUAAAAUGAAUGAUCUUUGUGAUUUAAGAAUUUAUUUAUUUAUUUAUUUAUUUAUUUUAAUAUAAACAUAUCUGUAUGAGUCUGUAUCAUCUGGAGCAAUCUGUUAUAAUCUAUAGGGAACUUCACAAAAGGAUCCUUAAUAAUAGAGUAUCAAAUGUCCAGAAGCAUUUCACUUGUCACCGCUCCUAGAGAUUUCUCAAAUGCACUGCUGCUCUAGGGUAGAAUAUAGUUAAUCAUACUCAGACACAGUCAGUGUUUAAGUCUAGGCUUAAAACGUAUUUGUUUACUCAAGCUUACCCUGUCUAGACUUUCUGUUACGCUAAGCACAAUCCUAAUAAUCUUUUCUCUCCCCUCUCCUUCUGUCGAGCAACACACGAUUUUAUGGAAAUACUAGAGAUCCUGAUCCUCUCUGCUCUCCGGACCUGCCUGAUCCGUUUCGGAUGUCCUACCUCUGGAUGGAGCUCUCAUCUAUUCCAAUUCCAGAUUGCUGGGACUACGACUGCUUCUCAGGCCAAACUGAUCAUAUAAAUCCAUAAUUAACUUUUUCACACUAUCUGUUGUUACCCAGAUGAGGAUGGGUUCCCUUCUGAGUCUGGUUCCUCUCAAGGUUUCUUCCUCUUAACAUCUUAGGUAGUUUUUCCUUGACACUGUCGCUACUCAGUGGCUUGCUCAGUUUGGAUAAAUUCUCACCUUUAAUAUCUAUAUACCGUGUUGAUAUUUCUGUAAAGCUGCUUUGAGACAAUGUCUAUUGUAAAAAGUGCUAUACAAAUAAAAUUGAAUUGAAAUAAUCAUA
Long non-coding RNA from Ictalurus punctatus (channel catfish), 2821 nucleotides. RefSeq lists it as uncharacterized. The transcript has 2 exons. The record is from RefSeq and is a predicted model, not a curated record. NCBI's taxonomy places the organism in Eukaryota, Metazoa, Chordata, Actinopteri, Siluriformes, Ictaluridae.